RNAcentral lists this transfer RNA (51 nucleotides) under Trachylepis maculilabris. Its description in RNAcentral is "partial tRNA-Tyr". Lineage: Eukaryota; Metazoa; Chordata; Lepidosauria; Squamata; Scincidae. The record is from RNAcentral.
AGGCGGCAGGUUGUAGCCCUGUACAGGCGGGUUGAGCCCCGUUCUUACCAA